RNAcentral lists this long non-coding RNA (2242 nucleotides) under Arabidopsis lyrata. RNAcentral describes it as "long non-coding RNA (ALYR_LNC001457)". Lineage: Eukaryota; Viridiplantae; Streptophyta; Magnoliopsida; Brassicales; Brassicaceae. The record is from RNAcentral.
AAAACCUGACAUGGACCAAAAAAGCUUUCUCCGGUUGAUUUUUCUCAUAGUCACAGCUGGUUUCAUUCUCUCUUUUACUUCCACUUACUUCUCUCACGCGCCGUCGUCCACGACGGGGAUUCUUGAUUGCACCGACUCUUCUUCUUCACCUCUUUGCGCUUCUAGAAACUUUCUUUUCAACAAACAACAACCACGUCCCAUUCCUAAACACGAUCCUAAACCAAAAACCAAAAACCAUGAUCACUUCUCCGAUACACCAAACCAUCCUCUAGACCCACUUACGGUGGUGGAGAUUAACAAAGUCCGAUCAAUACUCAACACUCACGCGCUUUUCACCUCCGGUACACCACACGCGCUCCACACCGUCGUUCUUGAAGAGCCUGACAAGAAUCUUGUCCGUCACUGGGAAAAAGGUAACCCACUUCCUCCGAGGAAAGCUUCCGUCAUCGCACGUGUUGGCCCCGACACGCACGUGCUCACCGUUGAUAUCUCUACGGGUCGGGUAGAUUCAGAGAAUAGCCCGGUUAGUGUUUCGGGUUACCCGAUGAUGACUAUCGAGGAGAUGAACGCUAUGACUGUUGUACCGUUCGCAAACGCAGAUUUCAACCGUACGAUCAUCUCUCGUGGAAUUAAUCUAACGGACGUGAUUUGUUUCCCAAUCUCUAGUGGUUGGUUUGGUAAUAAAGAAGAAAACGCGAGGGUUAUUAAAAGUCAGUGUUUCUUGACACAAGGAACACCUAACUUCUACAUGCGUCCUAUCGAAGGUCUAACCAUCCUUGUCGAUUUAGAUACAAAGCAAGUGAUCGAGAUAUCCGAUACGGGUCGGGCUAUACCCAUACCCGGUUCAACAAAUACCGAUUACCGCUUCGAAAAACUCGUGACCACCGACAAAACCCGACUUCUAAACCCCAUAUCCAUCGAGCAGCCACGUGGUCCAAGCUUCGUAAUCGAGGACAACCAUCUUGUGAAAUGGGCAAAUUGGGAAUUUCAUCUAAAACCUGACCCGAGAGCAGGUGUGGUUAUAUCACGGGUCAGAGUACACGACCCGGAUACUCAAGAGACACGUGAAGUGAUGUACAAAGGGUUUGUGUCAGAGCUUUUUGUUCCGUACAUGGAUCCAUCGGACGCGUGGUACUUCAAGACUUACAUGGACGCAGGGGAAUACGGGUUCGGGUUACAAGCCAUGCCACUCGUACCACUUAAUGAUUGUCCACGAAACGCAGCGUAUAUGGACGGAGUUUUCGCGGCGGCCGAUGGAACACCGUUCGUGAGAGAAAACAUGGUUUGUAUCUUUGAGAGUUACGCCGGAGAUAUUGGGUGGCGCCACUCCGAAAGUCCCAUCACCGGUAUACCGGUAAGUCUCUUUGUUUAUGGGUUUUAUUUACAUAGAAAAAAAUAUUAGGAUUUAAAAGGGUAAAUCUUAAAAGAUUGAGUGUGUUUAAUGUAAGUAAAUUAUUAUUUGGAUUUAGUAGAUAAGGGAAGUGAGACCAAAAGUGACGCUAGUGGUACGAAUGGCAGCUUCGGUAGGUAACUAUGAUUACAUCAUUGAUUACGAGUUCCAAACUGAUGGGCUUAUAAAAGCUAAGGUAAUUUUCUACUUUAUAUCAUUUCUAAAAUAUAAAAGAUUCCAUAUGAUUCCGUGGGAUAAUGAAUAUUCGUUUUUUUGUCACUAACUAAUGUAUAAGUGAUAAUGACAGGUUGGGCUUAGUGGAAUACUAAUGGUGAAAGGGACAACAUAUCAAAACAAGAACCAAGUGGAGAAAGACAGAGAAGGUAAUGAAGAAGAGCUUCACGGCACGCUUCUGUCUGAAAAUGUAAUCGGAGUAAUUCACGAUCACUACGUCACUUUUUACCUUGAUCUUGACGUCGAUGGCCCGGAUAAUUCAUUUGUUAAAGUGAACCUCAAGAGGCAAGAGACCGAGCCAGGUGAGUCACCGAGGAAAAGUUACCUGAAAGCUGUUAGGAACAUUGCGAAAACCGAAAAGGAUGGUCAGAUCAAGCUUAGCUUGUAUGAUCCAUCGGAAUUCCACGUCAUCAACUCUGGUAAAACCACUCGGGUUGGGAACCCAACGGGUUAUAAGGUCGUUCCUAGAACUACGGCAGCUAGUCUGCUUGACCAUGAUGAUCCACCGCAGAAGAGAGGAGCUUUUACUAAUAACCAAAUUUGGGUUACUCCAUACAAUAAGUCCGAGCAAUGGGCUGGUGGUUUGUUCACUUACCAAAGCCAUGGUGAUGAUACUCU